UACAGAGGUCUCAAGCGUUGUUCGGAUUCAUUGGGCGUAAAGGGUGCGUAGGUGGCGUCGUAAGUCAGGGGUGAAAUUCCGGAGCUUAACUCCGAAACUGCAUUUGAUACUGCGGUGCUUGAGGACUGGAGAGGAGACUGGAAUUCACGGUGUAGCAGUGAAAUGCGUAGAUAUCGGGAGGAAGACCAGUGGCGAAGGCGGGUCUCUGGACAGUUCCUGACGCUGAGGCACGAAGGCCAGGGGAGCAAACAGG
Molecule: ribosomal RNA, 253 nt
Filed under: uncultured bacterium
Lineage: Bacteria
Description: partial 16S ribosomal RNA
Rfam family: Bacterial small subunit ribosomal RNA
Source: RNAcentral